Molecule: ribosomal RNA, 856 nt
Filed under: Phaeocystis antarctica
Lineage: Eukaryota; Haptophyta; Phaeocystales; Phaeocystaceae
Description: partial Eukaryotic large subunit ribosomal RNA
Rfam family: Eukaryotic large subunit ribosomal RNA
Source: RNAcentral
CCGACAGUGAAAUACCGCAACUUUCGACGUCGUUUUACUUACUCGGUGGAGCGGAGAGAGGCUCGCCUCGCUUCUGGCGUUAAGCCGCUUCGUGCGGCGAUCCGCGUCGGGGACACUGUCAGGUGGGGAGUUUGGCUGGGGCGGCACGUCUGUUAAAAAAUAACGCAGGCGCCCGAUUUUGAGCUCAAUGAGAACAGAAAUCUCAUGUGGACCGAAAGGGGAAAAGCUCGGUUGAUUUUGAUUUUCAGUACGAAUACAAACCGCGAAAGCGUGGCCUAUCGAUCCUUUAGUCUUUGGGAAUUUCAAGCUAGAGGUGUCAGAAAAGUUACCACAGGGAUAACUGGCUUGUGGCUGCCAAGCGUUCAUAGCGACGUAGCUUUUUGAUCCUUCGAUGUCGGCUCUUCCUAUCACUGCCUCGCAGCGGGGGCCAAAUGUAGGAUUGUUCACCCACCAACAGGGAACGUGAGCUGGGGUUAGACCGUCGUGAGACAGGUUAGUUUUACCCUACUGCUGCCAGUUUUUCGACGGUAAUUUGGUUCAGUACGAGAGGAACCACCAAUUCGCACCAUCGGUAUAGCCGCCGCCCGAUAGGGCGAUGCGGCGAAGCUGCCAUGCGCCGGAUUACAACUGAACGCCUCUAAGUUGGAAUCCAUGCCGGACGCGAAAAGCCUUCUACCGGGACGGGCGUUCCGCAGCGAGCACGCCCAGCUUCGGCCGGAGCCGCACUCGAUCGCAAGUCACGGGCCCGCCCCGAUGGAUCCCCUGCAGACGACUCGAAUGAGGAACGGGGUGCUGUACGCGGCAGAGUGGCCUUGUUGCCACGAUCCGCUGAGGCUCAGCCUUGGUUCCGAAGAUC